RNAcentral lists this ribosomal RNA (253 nucleotides) under uncultured bacterium. RNAcentral describes it as "partial 16S ribosomal RNA". It matches the Rfam family "Bacterial small subunit ribosomal RNA", at positions 524 to 776 of the family's 1533-position model. The record is from RNAcentral.
UACGUAGGGAGCAAGCGUUGUCCGGAAUCAUUGGGCGUAAAGGGCGCGUAGGUGGCGACCCAAGUCUGUGGUGAAAGCUCGACGCUCAACGUCGAGUCGGCCAUAGAUACUGGGUUGCUUGAGCACUGUAGAGGCAGAUGGAAUUCCGGGUGUAGCGGUGGAAUGCGUAGAGAUCGGGAAGAACAUCAGUGGCGAAGGCGGCCUGCUGGGCUGUUGCUGACGCUGAGGCGCGACAGCGUGGGGAGCAAACAGG